Molecule: microRNA precursor, 98 nt
Filed under: Daphnia magna
Lineage: Eukaryota; Metazoa; Arthropoda; Branchiopoda; Diplostraca; Daphniidae
Description: Dma-Mir-184_pre stem-loop
Source: RNAcentral
CCUUAUCAUUCACCAGUCCGGUUAGAUUUUUUGAAAAAGUUCUUUUUCUUGGUCAUGCAAGAAUUACGAACUCUACUGGACGGAGAACUGAUAAGGGC